CCUACGGGAGGCAGCAGUGGGGAAUAUUGCACAAUGGGGGAAACCCUGAUGCAGCGACGCCGCGUGAGUGAAGAAGUAUUUCGGUAUGUAAAGCUCUGUCAGCAGGGAAGAAAAUGACGGUACCUGACCAAGAAGCCCCGGCUAACUACGUGCCAGCAGCCGCGGUAAUACGUAGGGGCCAAGCGUUAUCCGGAUUUACUGGGGGUAAAGGGAGCGAAGACGGAGGGGCAAGUCUGGAGUGAAAGGCGGGGGCUCAACCCCCGGACUGCUCUGGAAACUGCCAGGCUGGAGUGCAGGAGAGGUAAGUGGAAUUCCUAGUGUAGCGGUGAAAUGCGUAGAUAUUAGGAGGAACACCAGUGGCGAAGGCGGCUUACUGGACUGUAACUGACGUUGAGGCUCGAAAGCGUGGGGAGCAAACAGGAUUAGAUACCCUUGUAGUC
This 440-nucleotide ribosomal RNA is filed under the name uncultured bacterium. Its description in RNAcentral is "partial 16S ribosomal RNA". It matches the Rfam family "Bacterial small subunit ribosomal RNA", at positions 338 to 795 of the family's 1533-position model. The record is from RNAcentral.